GUGUCUGGAGGUUGCUCCUUGUGGAGUUUCUUGCAAGCCUACAACACUGGGCUAAAUACCUGAAGAAAUCCCAGCUAAGCCAAUUUCCAAUAGAAGAAAGACGUCUACUGGAGUCUUCUGCAGCAAGGCUACCAUUCUUGAGUUCCCCUCUCAAAAGAAUCCAGCGGAAAAGGCAGGAAUUUCAUCAUCUCAGGCAAGCUGCCAGGAAAGAACAAGCUCCCCUCUACUGAAAAAAACACCAAGGACAGAGGAAGUUCAGUUGCUGGGAGACUGCAGCUUUGAGAGCCUUGAAAUUUUAUGUGAUUGAAGAAGAGUUUGGCUGUUUGUUUUUGCUUUCUGGACAUCUGGU
This 349-nucleotide long non-coding RNA is filed under the name Gallus gallus (chicken). Lineage: Eukaryota; Metazoa; Chordata; Aves; Galliformes; Phasianidae. The record is from RNAcentral.